UUGGGACAAGGACAACCUCGGGAAACUGAGGCUAAUCCUUGAUAGGUGAGAACUCCUGGAAUGGAUUCUUUCUCAAAAGAUGCUUUGAUCAUGCUUCUAGGCAUCGCCCAAGGAGGGGGCCGCGGCCGAUCAGGUUGUUGGUGAGGUAACGGCUCACCAAGCCUCUGACCGGUACGGGCCGUGAGAGCGGAAGCCCGGAGAUGGGCACUGAGACAAUGGCCCAGGCCCUACGGGGCGCAGCAGUCGCGAAAACUCCGCAAUACACGAAAGUGUGACGGGGCUAUCCCGAGUGCCAUCCGCUGAGGAUAGCUUUUCCCCAGUGUAUAAAGCUGGGAGAAUAAGGAGAGGGCAAGACUGGUGUCAGCCGCCGCGGUAAUACCAGCUCUCCGAGUGGUGGGGAUGUUUAUUGGGCCUAAAGCAUUCGUAGCCUGCUAGCCAAGUCCUCCGUUAAAUCCACCGAUUCAAUCGUUGGGCUGCGGGGGAUACUGUCUAGCUAGGGGGCGGAAGAGGCCGACGGUAUCCCCGGGGUAGGGGUGAAAUCCUAUAAUCCCGGGUGGACCACCAGUGGCGAAGGCUGUCGGCUAGAACGCGCUCGACGGUGAGGGAUGAAAGCUGGGGGAGCGAACCGGAUUAGAUACCCGGGUAGUCCCAGCUGUAAACGAUGCAGGCUAGGUGUUGGCGCGGCUACGUGCCGCUCCAGUGCCGCAGGGAAGCCGUUAAGCCUGCCGCCUGGGAAGUACGGCCGCAAGGCUGAAACUUAA
RNAcentral lists this ribosomal RNA (761 nucleotides) under uncultured archaeon. RNAcentral describes it as "bacterial SSU rRNA". It matches the Rfam family "Archaeal small subunit ribosomal RNA", at positions 115 to 859 of the family's 1478-position model. The record is from RNAcentral.